This 74-nucleotide transfer RNA is filed under the name Paenibacillus polymyxa. RNAcentral's name for it is "tRNA-Trp". It matches the Rfam family "tRNA". From Rfam's summary of the family: Transfer RNA (tRNA) molecules are approximately 80 nucleotides in length. Their secondary structure includes four short double-helical elements and three loops (D, anti-codon, and T loops). Further hydrogen bonds mediate the characteristic L-shaped molecular structure. tRNAs have two regions of fundamental functional importance: the anti-codon, which is responsible for specific mRNA codon recognition, and the 3' end, to which the tRNAs corresponding amino acid is attached (by aminoacyl-tRNA synthetases). tRNAs cope with the degeneracy of the genetic code in two manners: having more than one tRNA (with a specific anti-codon) for a particular amino acid; and 'wobble' base-pairing, i.e. permitting non-standard base-pairing at the 3rd anti-codon position. The record is from RNAcentral. Lineage: Bacteria; Bacillati; Bacillota; Bacilli; Caryophanales; Paenibacillaceae. RNAcentral also lists the same sequence under 1 other name.
AGAGGUAUCGUCCAAUGGUAGGACUGCGGCUUCCAAACCCGCCAAUCAGGGUUCAAAUCCUUGUGCCUCUGCCA